UUCUUCGUUAAGGAAGAAUUUGAAGAGAAAAUAUUUCUUACUUUAAAUUUAUACUAAUCUUAUUAUAAUAUUAUAAAAACUAAAAUAAAUUUAUACAUUUUUCUUAUUUCCUUAAUUAUUAAGUUUAUUUAAUUUCUAUUAUUCUAUAUAUUGUAAAAAUUAGUAUUAUUUAAUUAGUUUUAUCUAAGGAACUCGGCAAAUUUUUAUUCAACUGUUUAUCAAAAACAUAGUUUUAAGAAUAUAUAUUUAAAAUGAUUCCUGCCCUAUGAUUUAUUUUUAAAUGGCCGCAGUACUUUAACUGUGCUAAGGUAGCAUAAUAAUUUGGCUUUUAAUUAAAGUCUGGAAUAAAUGGAUUUAUGGAUAUAUACUGUCUUAGGUAAAUUAAAAAAAACUUAUUAAAAAGGUGAAAAUACCUUUAUUUAAUAAUUAGACGAGAAGACCCUAGGAGUUUUUAUUUUGUUGGGGCGACAUUCUUGUAUUGAACCAAGAAAAAUACAAUUCAACCAUUAUAUUAAUAUUAAUUAAACUACCCUAGGGAUAACAGCAUAAUUUUAUUUAAGUUUGUGACCUCGAUGUUGGACUAGG
RNAcentral lists this ribosomal RNA (585 nucleotides) under Greenwoodoconcha nux. RNAcentral's name for it is "partial large subunit ribosomal RNA". The stretch from base 179 to 381 matches the Rfam family "Bacterial large subunit ribosomal RNA", at positions 1700 to 2029 of the family's 2925-position model. Lineage: Eukaryota; Metazoa; Mollusca; Gastropoda; Stylommatophora; Microcystidae. The record is from RNAcentral.